UUGGGGGUCGUCUAAUGGUAGGACCACAGACUUUGGAUCUGUGUAUCAUGGUUCGAAUCCAUGCCCCCAAG
RNAcentral lists this transfer RNA (71 nucleotides) under Candidatus Roizmanbacteria bacterium. RNAcentral's name for it is "tRNA-Gln". It matches the Rfam family "tRNA". From Rfam's summary of the family: Transfer RNA (tRNA) molecules are approximately 80 nucleotides in length. Their secondary structure includes four short double-helical elements and three loops (D, anti-codon, and T loops). The record is from RNAcentral. Lineage: Bacteria; Candidatus Roizmaniibacteriota.